This 256-nucleotide long non-coding RNA is filed under the name Phoenix dactylifera (date palm). RNAcentral's name for it is "long non-coding RNA (PDAC_LNC018473)". The record is from RNAcentral. Lineage: Eukaryota; Viridiplantae; Streptophyta; Magnoliopsida; Arecales; Arecaceae.
GAGGAUCCACUGAACUGAGCCAAAUAGUUGGACUAAAGUUGGAUGUUAUAGUCAUGGUUAUAUGCUUAAAAAAUUAUUAAAUAUUAGCUAAGCACUGGAACAUGAUCAGCAUUAAUAGUUGAGUUCUUAAAUGAUUACUUGAAAAUCUUCAUUAAUGUUAUCUUUCCAAAUUUCACUGUCCAACGUGUUGAAAAUGGAAUCAUACAAUGUCAUGAAACAUUAAGCUAAUGUGUCUAUAUACAUCAUGUUUUGAUUU